AGAGUUUGAUCAUGGCUCAGGAUGAACGCUAGCGGCAGGCUUAAUACAUGCAAGUCGAGGGGCAGCACGGGUAGCAAUACUGGGUGGCGACCGGCAAACGGGUGCGGAACACGUACGCAACCUUCCCGAAACAGGUGAAUAGCCCUCCGAAAGGAGGAUUAAUACACCGUGAGAUAUUGGUGUGGCAUCACACUGAUAUUAUAGGUAGCAAUACCGGUUUUGGAUGGGCGUGCGCCUGAUUAGGUAGUUGGUGCGGGUAACGGCCCACCAAGCCUCCGAUCAGUAACUGGUGUGAGAGCACGACCAGUCACACGGGCACUGAGACACGGGCCCGACUCCUACGGGAGGCAGCAGUAAGGAAUAUUGGUCAAUGGACGGAAGUCUGAACCAGCCAUGCCGCGUGAAGGAUGACUGCCCUCUGGGUUGUAAACUUCUUUUAUCUGGGACGAAAAAAGGGCUUUUUAGCUCACUUGACGGUACCAGAGGAAUAAGCACCGGCUAACUCCGUGCCAGCAGCCGCGGUAAUACGGAGGGUGCAAGCGUUAUCCGGAUUUACUGGGUUUAAAGGGUGCGUAGGUGGGCGAGAAAGUCAGUGGUGAAAUCUCCGGGCUUAACCCGGAAACUGCCAUUGAUACUAUUUGUCUUGAAUACUUUGGAGGUAAGCGGAAUAUGUCAUGUAGCGGUGAAAUGCUUAGAUAUGACAUAGAACACCAAUUGCGCAGGCAGCUUACUACACAGUAAUUGACACUGAGGCACGAAAGCGUGGGGAUCAAACAGGAUUAGAUACCCUAGUAGUCC
RNAcentral lists this ribosomal RNA (798 nucleotides) under uncultured bacterium. Its description in RNAcentral is "bacterial SSU rRNA". It matches the Rfam family "Bacterial small subunit ribosomal RNA", at positions 8 to 796 of the family's 1533-position model. The record is from RNAcentral.